UGAUGUAGCUCAACAGGCAGAGCAGCUGAUUUGUAAUCAGCAGGUUACAGGUUCGAUUCCUGCCAUCA
Molecule: transfer RNA, 68 nt
Filed under: bovine gut metagenome
Rfam family: tRNA
About the family: Transfer RNA (tRNA) molecules are approximately 80 nucleotides in length. Their secondary structure includes four short double-helical elements and three loops (D, anti-codon, and T loops).
Source: RNAcentral